GACGAACGCUGGCGGCGUGCUUAACACAUGCAGGUCGAACGGAAAGGCCCCUUUGGGGGUACUCGAGUGGCGAACGGGUGAGUAACACGUGAGUAACCUGCCCUUGACUUCGGGAUAACUUCAGGAAACUGGGGCUAAUACCGGAUAGGAAUCCUUGCUGCAUGGUGGGGGUUGGAAAGCUUCGGCGGUUUUGGAUGGACUCGCGGCUUAUCAGCUUGUUGGUGGGGUAGUGGCUUACCAAGGCUUUGACGGGUAGCCGGCCUGAGAGGGCGACCGGCCACAUUGGGACUGAGAUACGGCCCAGACUCCUACGGGAGGCAGCGGUGGGGAAUAUUGCACAAUGGGCGGAAGCCUGAUGCAGCAACGCCGCGUGCGGGAUGACGGCCUUCGGGUUGUAAACCGCUUUCAGCAGGGGCGAAGCUUGUGGUGACGGUACCUGCAGAAGAAGCACCGGCUAACUACGUG
This 465-nucleotide ribosomal RNA is filed under the name uncultured bacterium. Its description in RNAcentral is "partial 16S ribosomal RNA". It matches the Rfam family "Bacterial small subunit ribosomal RNA", at positions 28 to 507 of the family's 1533-position model. The record is from RNAcentral.